Molecule: unclassified non-coding RNA, 300 nt
Organism: Callithrix jacchus (white-tufted-ear marmoset)
Lineage: Eukaryota; Metazoa; Chordata; Mammalia; Primates; Cebidae
Rfam family: Metazoan signal recognition particle RNA
About the family: The signal recognition particle (SRP) is a universally conserved ribonucleoprotein. It is involved in the co-translational targeting of proteins to membranes.
Source: Ensembl
GCCGGGCGCAGUGGCACAUGCCUGUAGUCCCAGCUACUCGGGAGGCUGAGGUGGGAGGAUCGCUUAAGCCCAGGAGUUCUGGGCUGUAGUGUACUAUGCCGAUCGGGUGUCCACACUAAGUUUGGCAUCAAUAUGGUGACCUCCCAGGAGCGGAGGACCACCAGGUUGCCUAAGGAGUGGUGAACGGGCCCAGGGUGGAAACUGAGCAGGUCAAAACUCCUGUGCUGAUUGGUAGUGGAAUUGCACCUGUGAAUAGCCACUGUACUCCAGCCUGGGCAACACAGCGAGACCCCGUCCCUA